RNAcentral lists this ribosomal RNA (254 nucleotides) under uncultured bacterium. RNAcentral describes it as "partial 16S ribosomal RNA". It matches the Rfam family "Bacterial small subunit ribosomal RNA", at positions 524 to 776 of the family's 1533-position model. The record is from RNAcentral.
UACGAAGGGGGCUAGCGUUGCUCGGAAUCACUGGGCGUAAAGCGCACGUAGGCGGCUUUCUAAGUCAGGGGUGAAAUCCUGGAGCUCAACUCCAGAACUGCCUUUGAUACUGGAGAGCUUGAGUCCGGAAGAGGUGAGUGGAACUCCGAGUGUAGAGGUGAAAUUCGUAGAUAUUCGGAAGAACACCCGUGGCGAAGGCGGCUCUCUGGAACGCAACUGACGCUGAGACGCGAAAAGCGUGGGGAGCAAACAGG